This 748-nucleotide long non-coding RNA is filed under the name Equus caballus (horse). RNAcentral's name for it is "lncRNA (ENSECAG00000059516.1)". Lineage: Eukaryota; Metazoa; Chordata; Mammalia; Perissodactyla; Equidae. The record is from RNAcentral.
CUUCAAUGAAUAUUGCUAAGUGAAAGAAGCCAAUCUUAGAACGCUAUGUACUUUAUGAUUCCAUUUAUGUGAGGUUCUGAAAAAGAAAACGCUAUAGAAACAGAAGCCAAAUCAGUGGUUGCCAGGGAAGCACAUCUUCCCUCAGUCAAAUCUUAACAUGACUGCAGACUUGUAAGUAACCACGGGCCGGAGGACCCAGAUAAGCUGAACCAGGGUGCCUGACCCACGGAAACUGUGAGGAGACCUCCUCAAAGGACGACAAGCUUCCACGAUAGAGCAAGUUAUUCCCUCACGUUCUGUCCAGGGGGUCAUCUCCCAGUUUGAGAAGAAGAAAGUGUACAACUUCUGCUUGAAGCUGUAUGUCAAAAGCUAUAACAAGAAGGAAGCUGUCUGCAAGCCAGGAAGAGGGCCCUCACCAAGAACUUGACCAUGCUGGCAACUCGAUCUGAACUUCUCAGCCUCCAUAACGGGUGGCUAUCUAUGGCUAAUGUCAUGAGUACAUGGUCAGAACGUAUGCAUGCCAUCUUUAACAAGAUGAGUCAUCUCUGCAGAAAAAGCUUGACAGAAAGGCUGAGAUUGCUGGGUUAUGGAGAGAAACCGAAAAUGCACACAGACGAAGAGAACCUGGGCCACAGUCCUUCCAAGACAGAGCUCAUGGCUCACCGGAGUCCAAGAAAAGGCCAUGAGCAUGAAGCUUCACAAAAGUAUUGUUGAAGUGAUUGAAAUAGAACAACAUGCUUGCUUGAAG